RNAcentral lists this ribosomal RNA (477 nucleotides) under Triticum aestivum (bread wheat). RNAcentral's name for it is "partial small subunit ribosomal RNA". Lineage: Eukaryota; Viridiplantae; Streptophyta; Magnoliopsida; Poales; Poaceae. The record is from RNAcentral.
AUGAAUGUUUUAUGCUGGAACUGCCGUGGCGCGGGCAAGCCCGCGGCAGUUUGUGAACUUCGCGAAUUCGCAAGGAAGUUUGCCCCCUUCGUGCUCUGCAUUGUAGAAACUCAAAUAAGUGGUGCACGUGUGGAAGCUUUAGCGGGUACUUUGGGAUAUGAGAAAUCUUAUGCAAUAAACAGUCAAGGUAGAAGCGGAGGGAUUGGUAUGUUAUGGAAUAACAGUAGCAAUAUCAAAAUCUUGGGUAACUCUUGUUACCAUAUUGACGCAAAGGUGCAGGAAGAAGGACAUGAUCCUUGGCGAAUCACAUGCGUCUACGGAGAAGCUCAAGCUCACCUCAGGGAUCAUACUUGGGAUGUGAUGAAGGGUAUAUCAACUAUGAGCACCCUGCCAUGGCUUUGCCUGGGUGAUUUCAAUGAAGUCUUACGUCCACUAGUAGAAAAUAGGGCUUUGGUUGGGGCCUGGCCAGCCCAUUAG